UGUUCUUUUAUAUACAAACAUUCUUCUUUAAUUCCGGGAAAGAUAUCUAGCUUUGUAGCAAAAGUAGAGCCAGAACCGCCUAAAUUAUGUUGAUGAGUUCUUAUGAUGUUCUAAUGCAUAUCGAAUAAUUAAGUGGAAAAAAUAUAGAACGGGUCAAUCUAUCUGCUAUUAGGUUUAUUACAAAUUAUUUGAAGCAACGGCGUGUGAGGGGGAACGUUUCCAGAGCGUAAGCUCAUGCUGUUAAUAACAUUUCUGUAGUAUGUUAAGUUUGGCAUUUUUGUUCUUAAAAAAUCGGGAAAAUAAAACAAAAUGUAUUUAACUUUGUUAAAUGGCACCGGUUACGUUUUCGAUGUGGAUGAUUACAUGGAGCUACGUAUCAAAUACCGCAUUGUGGGCGCUCUUGUGGGCACGGCCAACAGCAAAGGUUGGAGCUCCAGUGAAGCAGCUCUUCCCGUAGAGCUUACAAAAUGCGAGACGCAGCUGCUCAUAGAUGAAGGCCUGGCCAUGCUGGUCAGCAAAGCCGCAAGCUUAAUGAAAUCUCCAACUCCAGAAAUAUUGCAGGAAUAUCAAGAAGAUUUCGCGGCCCGCCUAAAAGCGCAAGCUGAUUCCUUGAAGGCGGAAAAGCUGCGGGAAACCGAACGCCAUGUGGAGAAAAUCCUCAGCGGCAAGCGCAACAAGUUGUUAAAGCAGGGGAAAUCGGAUGAGGAGCGUGAUCCAAGAAGUCGCAAAUAAUUUUGAAUUCGAUCAUCAAAAUGCGCUCGUGGAGCUGCCUUGUCCGCAUCUGGCUAAGCACACUGCCCAACUAUGGUCUGAUCCGAUUUGCGACCGCGACUCGCUUAAAUACCGGGUUUUUCGUGAUCUGUGGGGCCGUGGCAAGUUCGUCAC
RNAcentral lists this unclassified non-coding RNA (885 nucleotides) under Drosophila mojavensis. Its description in RNAcentral is "GI13805". The record is from RNAcentral. Lineage: Eukaryota; Metazoa; Arthropoda; Insecta; Diptera; Drosophilidae.